RNAcentral lists this ribosomal RNA (497 nucleotides) under uncultured bacterium. Its description in RNAcentral is "partial 16S ribosomal RNA". It matches the Rfam family "Bacterial small subunit ribosomal RNA", at positions 28 to 507 of the family's 1533-position model. The record is from RNAcentral.
GAUGAACGCUGGCGGCGUGCCUAAUACAUGCAGGUCGAGCGAACGGACGAGAAGCUUGCUUCUCUGAUGUUAGCGGCGGACGGGUGAGUAACACGUGGAUAACCUACCUAUAAGACUGGGAUAACUUCGGGAAACCGUAGCUAAUACCGGAUAAUAUUUUGAACCGCAUGGUUCAAAAGUGAAAGACGGUCUUGCUGUCACUUAUAGAUGGAUCCGCGCUGCAUUAGCUAGUUGGUAAGGUAACGGCUUACCAAGGCAACGAUGCAUAGCCGACCUGAGAGGGUGAUCGGCCACACUGGAACUGAGACACGGUCCAGACUCCUACGGGAGGCAGCAGUAGGGAAUCUUCCGCAAUGGGCGAAAGCCUGACGGAGCAACGCCGCGUGAGUGAUGAAGGUCUUCGGAUCGUAAAACUCUGUUAUUAGGGAAGAACAUAUGUGUAAGUAACUGCGCACAUCUUGACGGUACCUAAUCAGAAAGCCACGGCUAACUACGUG